Molecule: ribosomal RNA, 248 nt
Filed under: uncultured bacterium
Lineage: Bacteria
Description: partial 16S ribosomal RNA
Rfam family: Bacterial small subunit ribosomal RNA
Source: RNAcentral
GUCUUCCUACGGGAGGCAGCAGUAGGGAAUUUUCGUCAAUGGGCGCAAGCCUGAACGAGCGAUGCCGCGUGAGUGAAGAAGGCUUUCGGGUCGUAAAUCUCUGUUGCGGGGGAAAAAAGGCAGCAUCAGGAAAUGGGUGCUGACUGAUGGUGCCCCGCCAGAAAGUCACGGCUAACUACGUGCCAGCAGCCGCGGUAAUACGAAGGUGGCGAGCGUUAUCCGGAAUGAUUGGGCGUAAAGGGUGAGCA